GGGAGUGUGGCUCAGUGGUAGAGCGCUUGCCUAGCAUGCACGAAGCUCUGGGUUCGAUUCCUCAGUACUA
This is a non-coding RNA of Dipodomys ordii (Ord's kangaroo rat), 70 nucleotides long. Lineage: Eukaryota; Metazoa; Chordata; Mammalia; Rodentia; Heteromyidae. The record is from Rfam.